AUGAGGUCAUAUCCGAAGGUACCAUUGUCCUGAAUAGCGAAUGAGAUGUAGCAGCCUUUUAUCCACAAGAGAUGUCUCACUGUUUGCCCUGGCUGGCCUUGAACUCUUGGGCACAAGCUAUUCUCCUACCUCAGCCUCCAGAGUAAGAGGAACAACAGGCCCAAGCCACUCCACCUGGCUGUAGUUGUAUAUUUCUAUCAGGAGAUUGCACUCAACUUCCAGGAAGAUGGCAGUGUGUGGUGAGCAGCAGAAAGAGCUUCUCGGAGAUUUGUUGUCCUGUUGAUAUAGAGGACAGCCCUGUCUAACUGCCUACAAGACAUCUAAGUAGCUUACCUAUCUACAAUACUGACACUGGAAUAUAGCAGCGUGAGGAGGAGGAGGAGGGAAGUGGGUGUCCCUGGGACUCAAGAAGGAUCUAAGGCGAGAAUUGAAGUCUACAGGAAGAGUGAAGAGAGAGACUUUAACGAAGAGGAGGGAGAUACCAAGCAGUGCUCUCUCACAGAGCCCAGACUCUCAGUGAGGGAACAGCAGAGUGAACCUCCAGACACAUGGUGACUGCUGGCAACCCCAUAGGCCUCCACAGAGAAAUGCACCAGUGGACCAGAGCAGUGGAUACACCAGAUUGCAGCAGCUGGUGAGUUAUCCAGGUUCAGACCUCUACCAGGAGGAGGGGGUGAUUGGCUGGUAGCUGUCAUGGAGAAGGGCCAGUUGAGUUUGGAACUCAGAACAGCUGUUGGCAGACUCCAUCUAGUGGCUCCCAGUGCCUCAGUGUGGGUGCUGAGUUCAAGUCAGCAGGAGGUCAGGGAGAGGAGUUCAAGAUGACAGGAGACACAUAGACUGUUUAGGCUCAAGGAAUCUGGUCCCAGCCUCAUAGCCAGAAAACUGGCCUGAACUUCAGAGGAACUAAAGGGGCAGGCUGGCCGGGCUUAUCCACUACCCCACCACGAAGCUGCAGCUAGCUUGCUGGGAUUAAUCAAUUUGGCUCUAGACUCUGUUUGCCCACAUUGCCUAAAAGUCACAGGAGAGAUAUACCUUGAAUUGGAUGUUUUGGGGUUUUUUUUCUUUUUUCUUUUUCUUUUUUUCCCCCCUCCUUUCUAGUUCUUAUUUUGUUUUGUUUUGUUUUUCUUGUUUCAACACAGUUUCUAGUUUGUUGUUGUUGUUGUUCUGUUCUUGUUUUAAUUUUUCCUUCUCUUUUUCCCACCUGUCCGCUUCACCAGUUUACUAAAGUUUGUCCUCCACCCCGGCUUCUGAUCUCUUCCUUUUCUUCUAUUUCUGUUUUUUAUCCCCCUAACCCCUUUUUUUUCUUUCUUUUUAAAAAUUCUUUUCUUCUCUUUUUUCCCCCUAACACCUUUUAAAUCUUCUCCCCUAAGGGUAAAAUUGCCAUAUUAAGGGCCACAGUUUGCCAUUUUCUAGGUUGUAUUUGAUGCUAUUGUUAUUGUUAAUUGUACUACAUUAGCCAAAGUGAUACAAUUGUGCUAAUCAGUUGUUCUUCCUGGUAUACCAAGACUGAGAUUGCCUAAGGGUCUUAAAAAAAUAAAUAAAAACCUCUAGGCCAGUGCCAGAGAACUGGCUGCUGGGCCAAGUAGGCAGAAACUUCUCACCCCCAAUAAUCUGAAGAGGCAGGAUCCUGCAACAGACUCAAAAUCCAAAAGCCAGCUACACCUGGAAGACACUUCUGAGAAGUAGCGAUUUCUAAGGGUUCUGAAUACUGGCAGUAAAGCUACUCUCCAUAAGCAGUUUACAAGCAUCAACUCAGGAAUCAAGUUUUAAAAAGAAGUAGAAAGUGAGAAGACACUUAAACAAGAUGUAGCCCCUACAGACUUUCAGUUCACUAAAGGUGAACCCCAGGGGGAAUGAGGUGGAACAACCUGAAACCCACCCACUUGGACUCUCUGAAGAGGUAACAGGAGAAGUAACAAAGAAGAUAAACAAAGGCUCUAGAAAAAACCAAAGCAAUAAUCAAAGAAAUAAUUUCCCAGAUAACCUCAGAGAUGGUGGGCCGAAUGAAAGACAUGCUUAGUGACUCUAGAGCAGAUAA
Long non-coding RNA from Heterocephalus glaber (naked mole-rat), 2038 nucleotides. RefSeq lists it as uncharacterized. Lineage: Eukaryota; Metazoa; Chordata; Mammalia; Rodentia; Bathyergidae. The record is from RefSeq and is a predicted model, not a curated record.